RNAcentral lists this ribosomal RNA (468 nucleotides) under uncultured bacterium. RNAcentral's name for it is "partial 16S ribosomal RNA". It matches the Rfam family "Bacterial small subunit ribosomal RNA", at positions 28 to 507 of the family's 1533-position model. The record is from RNAcentral.
GAUGAACGCUGGCGGCGUGCUUAACACAUGCAAGUCGAACGGAAAGGCCCUGCUUUUGUGGGGUGCUCGAGUGGCGAACGGGGGAGUGACACGUGAGUAACCUGCCCUUGUCUUUGGGAGAAAUUCAGGAAACUGGGGCGAAUACCGGAGAUGAUCUCCUGCUGCAUGGUGGGGGUUGGAAAGUUUCGGCGGUGUGGGAUGGACUCGCGGCUUAUCAGCUUGUUGGUGGGGUAGUGGCGUACCAAGGCUUUGACGGGUAGCCGGCCUGAGAGGGUGACCGGCCACAUUGGGACUGCGAUACGGCCCAGUCUCCUACGGGAGGCAGCAGUGGGAAAUAUUGCACAGUGGGCGGACGCCUGAUACAGCAACGUCGCGUGCGGGAUGACGGCCUUCGGGUUGUAAACCGCUUUCGCCUGUGACGAAGCGUGAGUGACGGUAAUGGGUAAAGAAGCACCGGCUAACUACGUG